This 690-nucleotide ribosomal RNA is filed under the name uncultured bacterium. Its description in RNAcentral is "bacterial SSU rRNA". It matches the Rfam family "Bacterial small subunit ribosomal RNA", at positions 32 to 715 of the family's 1533-position model. The record is from RNAcentral.
AACGCUAGCUACAGGCUUAACACAUGCAAGUCGAGGGGCAGCGCAGUGUAGCAAUACAUGGGCGGCGACCGGCGCACGGGUGCGUAACGCGUAUCCAACCUUCCCGUUACUCAGGGAUAGCCUUCCGAAAGGGAGAUUAAUACCUGAUGGUGUUCAAAUUCCGCAUGUUAUUUGAACUAAAGAUUUAUCGGUAACGGAUGGGGAUGCGUGACAUUAGGUAGAUGGCGGGGUAACGGCCCACCAUGCCUACGAUGUCUAGGGGUUCUGAGAGGAAGGUCCCCCACACUGGAACUGAGACACGGUCCAGACUCCUACGGGAGGCAGCAGUGAGGAAUAUUGGUCAAUGGUCGGAAGACUGAACCAGCCAAGUAGCGUGAAGGAUGAAGGUUCUAUGGAUUGUAAACUUCUUUUAUACGGGAAUAAAACCACCUACGUGUAGGUGCUUGUAUGUACCGUAUGAAUAAGCAUCGGCUAACUCCGUGCCAGCAGCCGCGGUAAUACGGAGGAUGCGAGCGUUAUCCGGAUUUAUUGGGUUUAAAGGGAGCGUAGACGGGGGAUUAAGUCAGUUGUGAAAGGCUGCGGCUCAACCGCAGCACUGCAGUUGAUACUGGUUCCCUUGAGUGCGGUUGAGGUAUGUGGAAUUCGUGGUGUAGCGGUGAAAUGCUUAGAUAUCACGAAGAACUCCGAUUG